Molecule: ribosomal RNA, 782 nt
Filed under: uncultured bacterium
Lineage: Bacteria
Description: bacterial SSU rRNA
Rfam family: Bacterial small subunit ribosomal RNA
Source: RNAcentral
AGCGCGGGGCAACCUGGCGGCGAGUGGCGAACGGGUGAGUAAUAUAUCGGAACGUACCCAAGAGUGGGGGAUAACGCAGCGAAAGUUGCGCUAAUACCGCAUACGAUCUAUGGAUGAAAGCAGGGGACCGCAAGGCCUUGUGCUCCUGGAGCGGCCGAUAUCUGAUUAGCUAGUUGGUGAGGUAAAGGCUCACCAAGGCGACGAUCAGUAGCUGGUCUGAGAGGACGACCAGCCACACUGGAACUGAGACACGGUCCAGACUCCUACGGGAGGCAGCAGUGGGGAAUUUUGGACAGUGGGAGCAAGCCUGAUCCAGCAAUGCCGCGUGAGUGAAGAAGGCCUUCGGGUUGUAAAGCUCUUUUGUCAGGGAAGAAACGGCUGUGGCUAAUAUCCACGGCUAAUGACGGUACCUGAAGAAUAAGCACCGGCUAACUACGUGCCAGCAGCCGCGGUAAUACGUAGGGUGCAAGCGUUAAUCGGAAUUACUGGGCGUAAAGCGUGCGCAGGCGGUUUUGUAAGUCUGACGUGAAAUCCCCGGGCUUAACCUGGGAAUUGCGUUGGAGACUGCAAGGCUAGAAUCUGGCAGAGGGGGGUAGAAUUUCACGUGUAGCAGUGAAAUGCGUAGAGAUGUGGAGGAACACUCGAUGGCGAAGGCAGUCUCUCUGGGUCAAGAUUGACGCUCAUGCACGAAAGUGUGGGGAGCAAACAGGAUUAGAUACCUCUGGUAGUCUAUGUUUCUAAACGAUGUCUACUAGUUGUCGGGUCUUAAUUGACUUGGUAAC